Molecule: ribosomal RNA, 445 nt
Filed under: uncultured bacterium
Lineage: Bacteria
Description: bacterial SSU rRNA
Rfam family: Bacterial small subunit ribosomal RNA
Source: RNAcentral
AACGAACGCUGGCGGCAGGCCUAACACAUGCAAGUCGAGCGCUCUCUUCGGAGGGAGCGGCGGACGGGUUAGUAACGCGUGGGAAUGUACCCUUCUCUAAGGAAUAGCCAUUGGAAACGAUGAGUAAUACCUUAUACGCCCCCCGGGUCAAACUGGGGGGAAAGAGUUUAUCGGAGAGGGAUCAGCCCGCGUAAGAUUAGAUAGUUGGUGGGGUAAUGGCCUACCAAGUCUACGAUCUUUAGCUGGUUUUAGAGGAUGAUCAGCAACACUGGGACUGAGACACGGCCCAGACUCCUACGGGAGGCAGCAGUGGGGAAUCUUGGACAAUGGGCGCAAGCCUGAUCCAGCCAUGCCGCGUGAGUGAUGAAGGCCUUAGGGUCGUAAAGCUCUUUCGCCAGAGAUGAUAAUGACAGUAUCUGGUAAAGAAGUCCCGGCUAACUCCGUG